CAAUGUUGAUGUACAUUUCAAAGCAAAAUCACGACGUUUACUGAACCAUUUCACAAGCAGAUUGAUGAUUUCAUCAAUCAAAUGCACCACUGGUAGCAACCUUGCGAACCGAAGGACUGAGUUGAUUGACUCCGCAAUGUUUGUUGUCAUUACAUUGUAUUGACAUCCAUCCAUAUGAGCUCUAGACCACUUGUGUAAUCCUGCACUUUCAAGAUAUUGAGCAACCUCAUCAUUUCCCUUGAUCUUGAGAAAAUGAUGAUCAAAUUCAGCGAUACCAUAAGAUUUCGCAACUUGUUCAAAGUAUAGCAAUAAUUUAUCACGUUUUUUCAAUUUGAAAGUGCGUUUCUUGUUCCCCUUCAUAUGGUAAAAGCAUAUGCCAUGUUGCCAUUGGAAAAACGUUGUGCCACACAUUCUCUAUGCUAAUAUUCCGAUCAGAAAUAAUCACAAGAUUUGGACACUCACCAAUGGCUUCAUGAAGCUUACUGAAAAACCAAUGCCAUGAUGCAUCCGUCUCUAAAUCUCCAAUUCCAAAAGCAAGAGGAUAUAUAUUUAGAUUUCCGUCAAAUGCAUUGGCAACAAAGAGGACACCCUUAUACUUACAUUUUAAAUGUGUGGCAUCCACAGCAAUGAUUGGCUGCAUCGAAGAUUGAAACCCUCUAAUACAUGCCCCAACA
This 674-nucleotide long non-coding RNA is filed under the name Prunus dulcis (almond). Its description in RNAcentral is "sRNA ncRNA". Lineage: Eukaryota; Viridiplantae; Streptophyta; Magnoliopsida; Rosales; Rosaceae. The record is from RNAcentral.